UCACAAGUAUGUCGGAAUAAAUCUGUCUGACUGUUAAUCAGAGGGUCGCUGGUUCGAGCCCAGCCUGAGGAGCAA
Molecule: transfer RNA, 75 nt
Filed under: Flammeovirgaceae bacterium
Lineage: Bacteria; Pseudomonadati; Bacteroidota; Cytophagia; Cytophagales; Flammeovirgaceae
Also listed under: 1 other name
Description: tRNA-Ser
Source: RNAcentral